UCGUAGGUUAAACCGCUUGAGUUUUACCGGCGAUAACUUAGUUUCUAGCUGCACGCGAUGCUGCUCGUUGCCGUUGGAUUUGUCUUGCUUUUGCUUAUAGUUUUUCUGAUUGUAAUUAUCAUAAUGCAGAAUUCGAUUCUUGAAGUCGUAAUGACUGUCAAAACGGAAUUUUCUCAACGAUAAGACACUUUAUCUAAUCUUAGCGAUCUGGCUGCUGACACUGUUAUGUUAUACCAAAUUAUGAGUGUUAAACCAGGUGCUUCUCAGCGACGUUUAUCAACGCGUGUAGACAGGUAUACAUCAGCAAUACCUUUUUGUUUGCAUUAAUCAAGCCAGGAUUUUUUCAGGAGGAAGAAGAAGAAGAACGUAUUCAAGUAUUUCAAACACACUAUGACCGCCAUAUCCAUUGCCAACGAAGCAUUACGCUCAAUACAAAGGUCAUCGGGCCAGCUGGACACAACAAACAAAACCUCUAAGGGAUAUCUAUCCGCUCUGACCUAAAAGCAACGAACAUCCUGUCUGUUCUGGCCUAACAGUAACUCGCUUGACGUGUUUCGUGUUUUUUAGUCAAUCCACGAUAAAAAAUUCAGGCUGUCUGCUUCCUGACUGUAUGUACUCUAUCACCUACGGGAGCAAGAGAAAGAAAUGAGGAGAAUUUAGUUGAAUUAGACACCUUCUGUCUAUCCCUUCAGUAUCUCUUACAGGUAUUUUGUCUGUGGUUCGUCGAAGAGAUCGGUUUGAACUCGUUUUCACUAUUUACAGACAGUUUGCAGCAAAAGAGCCCUGGAUACAAGUUCCAAGACAGUUGGCGUCGAAAUGUACACAGCUAUUGGAAUAAGUAAUGGAGCAGCUUUUCUUUUAGUAUUGGUACAAUGUGUGUGUGUGUCACAGAAAGAAAAAACGAUGCAAUUCCAUACCGAUUUUGAGAAUUUUUCCAAAAUCGUCACGAGGAACUCGUAGCAUGGAUAUCGUUUUCGUAGACAAUGGUUGACGAAGUCGUAAAAAGUUAUUAUCGUACAUAUAGUUUCUUUAGUCAGCGUUUAACUGUAUCUGAAGACUUCUGAAGAUUCCUAAAAAUCUCCAAAUGCUCAGAAAUGCUACUACUGUAAAGAUUACUCCCACACGAGCUUCCUUUGCCAUUAUCUGAUUUGCCAACAAAAAAGACAGCCAUGUAUCUCAAAAUGUCAUGAGUUAUCUUUUGGUAAGAAAACAGUUAGUGGAUCUGCGUCUCAUUUUUAUCAGAGGAAGGAAAGUUGAGUUGUAUAAGCAGUACUUUCUUGUAGAAGAAGAAUAUUUGAUGCCCAAAGGAAUAGCUGGGUUUCUUUAACUUACAAACAAACAUUAAAGAUGUCUGAAAUAAUUCCUUAGACCACAUGCUCUCUUCACUAACGCUUGCCAAUGUCUCCUAUUUAGGAUAGUCGUCUUGUCAUUCUUAAUGUAACCGUGUUGCCAAUAUUCAAAUAUGUAUUGCUAUAUUUUAAAAGUAGAACGGUAACUUCGAAUAUUUGAAUGAAUAAACACAAAGCAAGAUUCGGUGAAAAACAGGAAAGCUUACUGCUACAGUAAUGUAUUUGAUAAAUGUUACUACAGAGAAGUAAUUGUGAUUUUUUAAGUUUCAGUACCAUGAAAGGUUUUCAAGUAAACAGUUGCAUUUUAGUUCUUAUUUGCCAUUUUGCUAAGAUAAAACAUUUCUAAGUUAAUUUCUCUGUUAGUAUAAUUGUUUGUUGCCAUGGAAAUAGCUCAGCUUAUGACACAGUAAAAACAUUUAUGACAUCAGUUAAUAAAUACUUUUUCGAUUUAUCGAUAAUAGAUUUUUUAUGUUAAAAGCCCGAGUGAACAAGUUCAGCUCCAAACUUCUUAAAUUUCGAAAGUGAAACGAAAUUUGUGACAAUCGUUCUUAUAAUAUUGAAGAAAUUAAUAUUGUAAUUAAUAUGA
This 1935-nucleotide long non-coding RNA is filed under the name Limulus polyphemus (Atlantic horseshoe crab). RNAcentral describes it as "uncharacterized LOC111086827, transcript variant X1". The record is from RNAcentral. Lineage: Eukaryota; Metazoa; Arthropoda; Merostomata; Xiphosura; Limulidae.